Molecule: non-coding RNA, 72 nt
Organism: Steinernema glaseri
Lineage: Eukaryota; Metazoa; Nematoda; Chromadorea; Rhabditida; Steinernematidae
Source: Rfam
GCCGGUUUAGCUCAGUGGCAGAGCGUCUGUCUUGUAAACAGAAGGUCGUAGGUUCGAUCCCUGCAAUCGGCA